RNAcentral lists this ribosomal RNA (254 nucleotides) under uncultured bacterium. RNAcentral describes it as "partial 16S ribosomal RNA". It matches the Rfam family "Bacterial small subunit ribosomal RNA", at positions 524 to 776 of the family's 1533-position model. The record is from RNAcentral.
UACGAAGGGGGCUAGCGUUGCUCGGAAUCACUGGGCGUAAAGGGUGCGUAGGCGGGUCUUUAAGUCAGGGGUGAAAUCCUGGAGCUCAACUCCAGAACUGCCUUUGAUACUGAGGAUCUUGAGUUCGGGAGAGGUGAGUGGAACUGCGAGUGUAGAGGUGAAAUUUCGUAGAUAUUCGCAAGAACACCAGUGGCGAAGGCGGCUCACUGGCCCGAUACUGACGCUGAGGAGCGAAAGCGUGGGGAGCGAACAGG